UACGGAGGAUGCAAGCGUUAUCCGGAAUGAUUGGGCGUAAAGCGUCCGCAGGUGGCAAUGUAAGUCUGCUGUCAAAGCGUCUGGCUCAACCAGAUAAAGGCAGUGGAAACUACAUAGCUAGAGUAAGGUAGGGGUAGAGGGAAUUCCUGGUGUAGCGGUGAAAUGCGUAGAUAUCAAGAGGAACACCUGCGGCGAAGGCGGGUUGCUGGGCCGACACUGACGCUGAUGCGCGAAAGCUAGGGGAGCGAACGGG
Molecule: ribosomal RNA, 253 nt
Filed under: uncultured bacterium
Lineage: Bacteria
Description: partial 16S ribosomal RNA
Rfam family: Bacterial small subunit ribosomal RNA
Source: RNAcentral